CAUGCACCCAAACCCAAAGGCCUCACCUGUCCGUGGUGGGAUUUUGUCUGGCGUGCGAACAGAGAACUGAUCCUUGUCGCCUUUCUCUGACGCUGCAGUGUCUUUGAAAGUGAAAUCAAGGGUCAACAGAU
Small nucleolar RNA from Anoplopoma fimbria (sablefish), 131 nucleotides. RefSeq annotates it as small nucleolar RNA SNORA68. The record is from RefSeq and is a predicted model, not a curated record. NCBI's taxonomy places the organism in Eukaryota, Metazoa, Chordata, Actinopteri, Perciformes, Anoplopomatidae. The transcript has a single exon.